This is an RNA transcript of Juglans regia (Persian walnut), 1144 nucleotides long. RefSeq lists it as uncharacterized. The transcript is spliced from 4 exons. NCBI's taxonomy places the organism in Eukaryota, Viridiplantae, Streptophyta, Magnoliopsida, Fagales, Juglandaceae. The record is from RefSeq and is a predicted model, not a curated record.
GAGAUGACUUGUGAUACUGAAGCAGCUGCUUAGCCUGCUUUGUACGAACUUGUUCGAUAACUCUAAAAGGGUACUCAUUUCUUGUGGAAUGUGAGGGACUAGACCAAAAUCUUGUUUCAGAUCCCUAGCUCGGGCUCUAAUAUCAAGAAAAAAACAUGGAACUGAGCCUUUUUAACUUCAGAAAAUCUUUGCAGAAUCCACUAUUUCGUUGCAUCCAAUGCGCACAUGACGUGUAGACCGGUUCACUAACACCACUGAACCGGUUUGCUCCGUUCUGUCUCUUAACCCUCAUUCCCUUCAUUCAAGAAUUCCCCCGCCCCCCCGACCCCAAGCCCUCAAAGCUCACCUGAACAUCAGCCAUUGAAGCCAAGCACAGCCAUCGACCUCAGCCAAGCAUGACCUCCCAACCACAACCUCAGCCCUCCCCACCACGACCUCAGCCUUCCCGAGGAAAUCAAUCCCCAAGCCCUUGGUCCCUCAGUCCACCAACGAAGCCUCAGUCCAUCAACGUGAAGCUGCCCUCAGUCCACCGAAACCCUCAGAUCUACGGGAGGAUGUUGCCUCUCAUGGCUUUGCACAAACCUCUCUCUCGGCAGCUCUAAACCAACCCCACCAAUUUCUUGCAUGUACAUGCUUAAAGACUAAGCCCUCCUGUCGGGAAGUAUAAGAAAACCUUCCAGGAUCUUCUCCAAAAGCAGGAAGGUGAUCAGUCAAUGUGGGAAUACCCAUUUGCUGUAGGUGGUGUGAACAUCACAUUCAUGCUUAUUCAAAUGCUUGAUCUGGAAGCAGGCGGUGAUGAAAUCGACCCGUCAUCAGCUGGAACAAGAGCAAUUGCUUGAAGGAAUAACAAGGUUGGAACAGUUGCCAUCAUACGGCCUUCUUUCCCAAGAGCUAUUGUGAAGGCCUACUCAAGACCAUCUCUUCGAUGUGAUCACAAAAUCAAUUGGCCUUGCAGCAGCAGUUUUAGCUAUUAAAUUCUUAUGGUGGAUCGAUCAUGUUGGUGCUUUGUAUUGUAUUAAUAGAAAAAUUGUAAAUGGAUCCUUUAGCCAUAAUUAUAAUUGUCGAAUCUAUAUGAAUAUUUUUUAAUAAAUGUGUGCUUUGUAAGAUUUGAGUAUCACUAUGGAUGUUAAAUUAUUUGAUUUGG